RNAcentral lists this transfer RNA (86 nucleotides) under Lachnospiraceae bacterium. RNAcentral's name for it is "tRNA-Leu". It matches the Rfam family "tRNA". Rfam says of the family: Transfer RNA (tRNA) molecules are approximately 80 nucleotides in length. Their secondary structure includes four short double-helical elements and three loops (D, anti-codon, and T loops). Lineage: Bacteria; Bacillati; Bacillota; Clostridia; Lachnospirales; Lachnospiraceae. The record is from RNAcentral.
GCCCUCGUGGCGGAAUAGGCAGACGCCACAGACUUAAAAUCUGUUGCCCUAUGGGCGUGCCGGUUCGAGUCCGGCCGGGGGCACCA